Molecule: microRNA, 21 nt
Filed under: Anolis carolinensis (green anole)
Lineage: Eukaryota; Metazoa; Chordata; Lepidosauria; Squamata; Anolidae
Description: aca-miR-5447
Source: miRBase by way of RNAcentral
UUGUGGAUGCAGGAAGUCUAC